This 255-nucleotide ribosomal RNA is filed under the name uncultured bacterium. RNAcentral's name for it is "partial 16S ribosomal RNA". It matches the Rfam family "Bacterial small subunit ribosomal RNA", at positions 524 to 776 of the family's 1533-position model. The record is from RNAcentral.
UACGUAGGGGGCAAGCGUUGUUCGGAAUUACUGGGCGUAAAGCGCGCGCAGGCGGCCCUUUAAGUCCGUCGGUCAAAUGCCGGGGCUCAACCCCGAUGCAUGCCGAGGAUACUGGAGGGCUGGAGACACGUAGAGGCAAGCGGAAUUCCGGGUGUAGCGGUGGAAUGCGUAGAGAUCCGGAAGAACACCGGAGGCGAAGGCGGCUUGCUGGGCGUGAUCUGACGCUGAGGCGCGAAAGCGUGGGGAGCGAACAGG